UUAAAUGUCAGGUACACCUACUGAAAAAUGCAAAGCCUUGAGUAUAAACUUGCAUUUUUAUUUGAGGAAUAUUUCAUAGAAACAAAGUUGGACUUGAGCAGUAUUUUUUGUCUCUUCUGAUUUUGUUUAGGAGAUAAUAAAUUCAUGACAUGAUAGAUUUAUUUUAUUGAGGCACAGGGGAAAAAGUCAAAUGCAUAAAACUUAGCUUAAAGGAUUGUUGCUCCAUAUGUGUAGUUUGCUGAUUGACGG
RNAcentral lists this unclassified non-coding RNA (249 nucleotides) under Hevea brasiliensis (rubber tree). The record is from RNAcentral. Lineage: Eukaryota; Viridiplantae; Streptophyta; Magnoliopsida; Malpighiales; Euphorbiaceae.